UACGAAGGGGGCUAGCGUUGUUCGGAAUUACUGGGCGUAAAGCGCGCGCAGGCGGUCCUUCAAGUCAGAGGUGAAAGCCCAGAGCUCAACUCUGGAACGGCCUUUGAGACUAGAGGACUUGGGUACGGGAGAGGUGAGUGGAAUUCCGAGUGUAGAGGUGAAAUUCGUAGAUAUUCGGAAGAACACCAGUGGCGAAGGCGGCUCACUGGCCCGGAACUGACGCUGAGGCGCGAAAGCGUGGGGAGCAAACAGG
This 253-nucleotide ribosomal RNA is filed under the name uncultured bacterium. Its description in RNAcentral is "partial 16S ribosomal RNA". It matches the Rfam family "Bacterial small subunit ribosomal RNA", at positions 524 to 776 of the family's 1533-position model. The record is from RNAcentral.